CAGAGCCAUAGAGAGAAAGAGUUGCAACACUCCCAUUGGACUCCGUUGUACGCUUUUUGCCGCCUACUUGCGGGGUAUGCAGCCUCGCGUAGUUCCAAAAAGCCAUUCUAUGGCGUUGGACAUCAUUCACUUCCAUUGCUGACUGUCGAGUAACUUCUGAGGUAAGUUGAUUAAAUAGCUACCUGUUUUGAAUUGUCAACUGUCUAUAUUGUAUCAUAGGCCCUUUAUGAUGCAUAUACUGAUCUUUUGUUGUAUGUACACAGCGUAAUUAUAUAUAUUUUUUUUUUAUCUUGGUAGACGACCGAUUGCCGGCUAGUUUGUUAGCUUGACUUGCCUUCUGUGAAGGUAACGUUAUAUCCAGGGGUAAAUUGAUUAAAUAGCUACCUCUUUUGAACUGUCAACUGUCUAUAUUUUAUCAGAGGCCCUUUAUGAUGCAUAUACUGAUCUUUAUUUGUAUGUACACAGCGUAAUUAUAUAUAUGUUUUAUCUUGGUAGACCACCGAUUGCCUGCUAGUUUGUUAGCUUGACUUCGCCCUCUGUAAAGGUAACGUUAACGUUAUAUCCAGGCGUAAAUUGAUUAAAUAGCUACCUCUUUUGAAUUGUCAACUCUGUAUAUUAUAUAAAUAGGCCCUUUAUGGUGCAUAUGCUUAUAUUUAUUUGUAUGUGCACAGUGCAAUUUAUAUAUAUUUUCUUAACUUGGUAGACAACCGAUUUUCAGUCAUUGCCUGCUACUUAGUUAAGUUAUCUCGAUUUUGCGAGCUGUGAAGAAGGUAUCGCUACACCAAAAAUUACGAAGUUCAGUAGUGAAUCUCUGACAUAUUUUAUUUAGUAAAUUAUUGAUGUUAGAUUACUAGGAUCUUUAAGGUUGAUUAAGGACGUUUUUUUUUAGGUUGUAUCUGCUGAACCUGGCGGUGUUAGCUAGUCAGCUGAGUACUGUGUAUCUGAUGCUAGUAGAAAUAAGGCGGCUGCUGCUGGAGGCGAUGACUGCUUGAGCUGGCUGGUGUUGGAGAAGGAUGGUGAUGGCGGCUGCUGCUGGUAAUGGUGGCUGUUGCUGCUGGUGGCGGCUGCUGGUAAUGGUGGUGGCUGCUGCUGGUAGCUGCUACUGCUGGUGGCGGCUACUGCGGCUGCUGCUGGUGGCGGCUGCUGGUAAUGGUGGCUGGUGCUGGCCAUGGCUGCUGGUGGUGUCUGUCCAUUGUUGAAUCUAUUGUCGCCCUAUUUCACUUUAUCUGCUUUUUAGUGUCCAGGACACAGAUGAAGAGGAUGUUAAUAUGCUUUGUCGAGAGGAACUGCCCUGCAGUGACUGGCCAUAGUGUAUAGUGGAACUCCACAGGUGUGAGUCUGAUGUAUGCAAGAGAAAGUAUUUUCUAGGCAGUUUGUGCCCGUCUCAACAGAUCUUGCUGGACCACCAGUAUCGUUGUUGUGGCCACUGUACGUAUGUUUGUUGAUAUUAUUCAUGCUUGUUCCUUGUUCCCAUUUUUUUUUGUUCCACACUGUUCAUUUUUAUCUUAUGCCAGGUACUUUUAUUAUGAAUGUUGUCCUUCCUUUCAGCCCUGAUGCACUCUGAAGCCUGAUUUGUGGAGGAUUUUUUUUAAAUGUAUAAAUCACUUAUAAUAUUCCUCCCUGUUCCUUCACUUUGUUCUUGUUUUUCCAGUUAGAUACACACAUUUACACACACACACACACACAUCUUGUUGUCUCACUCAGUAUUUUUUAUUAAACAAUAUUUGAUUCAUUCA
Alosa sapidissima (American shad) is the source of this 1736-nucleotide long non-coding RNA. RefSeq lists it as uncharacterized. The record is from RefSeq and is a predicted model, not a curated record. Lineage: Eukaryota; Metazoa; Chordata; Actinopteri; Clupeiformes; Clupeidae. The transcript is spliced from 2 exons.